Molecule: ribosomal RNA, 255 nt
Filed under: uncultured bacterium
Lineage: Bacteria
Description: partial 16S ribosomal RNA
Rfam family: Bacterial small subunit ribosomal RNA
Source: RNAcentral
UACGGAGGAUCCAAGCGUUAUCCGGAAUCAUUGGGUUUAAAGGGUCCGUAGGCGGUUUGGUAAGUCAGUGGUGAAAGCCCAUCGCUCAACGGUGGAACGGCCAUUGAUACUGCCAGACUUGAAUUAUUAGGAAGUAACUAGAAUAUGUAGUGUAGCGGUGAAAUGCUUAGAGAUUACAUGGAAUACCAAUUGCGAAGGCAGGUUACUACUAAUGGAUUGACGCUGAUGGACGAAAAGCGUGGGGGAGCGAACAGG